GACGAACGCUGGCGGCGUGCUUAACACAUGCAAGUCGAACGGAAAGGCCCUGCUUUUGUGGGGUGCUCGAGUGGCGAACGGGUGAGUAACACGUGAGUAACCUGCCCUUGACUUUGGGAUAACUUCAGGAAACUGGGGCUAAUACCGGAUAGGAGCUCCUGCUGCAUGGUGGGGGUUGGAAAGUUUCGGCGGUUGGGGAUGGACUCGCGGCUCAUCAGCUUGUUGGUGGGGUAGUGGCUUACCAAGGCUUUGACGGGUAGCCGGCCUGAGAGGGUGACCGGCCAAAUUGGGAUGGGGAUACGGCCCAGCCUCCAACGGGAGGCAGCAGUGGGGAAUAUUGCACAAUGGGCGGAAGCCUGAUGCAGCAAAGCCGCGUGGGGGAUGACGGCCUUGGGGUUGUAAACCGAUGUCGCCUGUGACGAAGCGUGAGUGACGGUAAUGGGUAAAGAAGCACCGGCUAACUACGUG
RNAcentral lists this ribosomal RNA (468 nucleotides) under uncultured bacterium. Its description in RNAcentral is "partial 16S ribosomal RNA". It matches the Rfam family "Bacterial small subunit ribosomal RNA", at positions 28 to 507 of the family's 1533-position model. The record is from RNAcentral.